UAUGUGAUCGUCUCUCGCAUAUCAAUAAGCGGAGGAAAAGAAACUAACAAGGAUUCCCCUAGUAACGGCGAGUGAAGCGGGAAGAGCUCAAAUUUGAAAUCUUAAAGGGUUUCCCUUUACGAAUUGUAGUUUAAAGAAGUGUUUUCUGUUGAGGUUUUGGUAAAAGUUCUUUGGAAUAGGACAUCAUAGAGGGUGAGAAUCCCGUAUUUGACCUUUACUUUCAACUUUGUGAUACACUUUCAAAGAGUCGGAUUGUUUGGGAAUGCAGUCCAAAAUGGGUGGUAAAUUUCAUCUAAAGCUAAAUAUUGGCGAGAGACCGAUAGCGAACAAGUACCGUGAGGGAAAGAUGAAAAGAACUUUGAAAAGAGAGUUAAACAGUACGUGAAAUUGUCAAAAGGGAAGCGUUUGACACCAGUGUUGUUUUUCUGAAAAUCAAUUAAAGAACUGUUUAUGCUAAGCUGUUUAGACUUUAUCAGCUAUCUGUUUAGUUUUGAGCUUUUCUUUAAUGCACUUUUCAGUUAACAAGUCAACAUCAAUUUCUUUUGCUGUAAAAAAGCUUGAGGAAGGUGGCUUGAGAUUCGUCUUAAGUGUUUAUAGCCUCUUGCCUAUGCAGUCGGAGAGAUUGAGGUCUGCAGCGUAGAUCCUUCGGGGUUAAAUAGCAUUGAUGCUAAGCUAUAGCCCUGUAUAGACAACUUGUUGACUAUGCUCUGUCAUGUAGCUUACUCGCUUAUGCUAUUUUACCUACGCUUAGGAUGUUGACUGAUAUGUAGUCGUA
Molecule: ribosomal RNA, 775 nt
Filed under: uncultured Neocallimastigales
Lineage: Eukaryota; Fungi; Neocallimastigomycota; Neocallimastigomycetes; Neocallimastigales
Description: partial large subunit ribosomal RNA
Rfam family: Eukaryotic large subunit ribosomal RNA
Source: RNAcentral